GAGAGGAGAGGAGCGAGCGACUCCUGCGCAAGCGCAGAGUGAAGGGCCGGGAACAGUGGAGGGUGAGGAAGACAAUGGGGAAGGACCCUGAGGCGGCCUCUGUGAGCCGACAGGAACACGUGGUCGAUCAGAGAGAGACUCGAGGUUUGUGAACGGAUGGGGAGGACCCUGAAAAGCACUGUGGAAUACAGGUUUCUAGUAACUUCAAAAUCACAUCAUUUGGACUGGGUAAGAAUUGCUGAAACUUUAAUGAAAAGACUGACUGGCUUAUAAAACUGCUAACCCAAAUAGAAUAAAAAUUAAUUGAAUACCGAGGAAAUACUUCACCAGGUUUGCAUACUUAAUCAGCCUAUACUGAAAUUGUUUAGAUAUACAAUUUGAAUGAACUCCAUGGUCUAAGUCAAAUUACCUGUGAUAACCCAUCAGUUAUCCAUGCUAUGUGCCCAAUUUGGAGAAACAACUGGCACCCAAGAGGACAUAAGUCCGAUGUUAAGCGUGGACUCAUGGAGAACCAAGACGGCUGCCUUGUCCUUCGUGAGUCCUUAAAGCUUUUGUUAUUAAAAGUUAUGCAUUCCAUGACUCAUCCUGGAAAAGAUAAAAUGAUCCAAAUUAAAUAUGUUGGUGUGGUGACUUAUAGAUUGUUAAAAUCGUUUAUAAACAAUGUUUAGUUUGUCAAACCCAUACUACUGGGAAGUCAAUCAAAGCUUCAUGUACAUUUGGCUACCUGAUGAGCCAUUUAAACAUUUAUA
This 749-nucleotide long non-coding RNA is filed under the name Pan troglodytes (chimpanzee). RNAcentral describes it as "lincRNA". Lineage: Eukaryota; Metazoa; Chordata; Mammalia; Primates; Hominidae. The record is from RNAcentral.